RNAcentral lists this ribosomal RNA (1511 nucleotides) under metagenome. RNAcentral describes it as "bacterial SSU rRNA". It matches the Rfam family "Bacterial small subunit ribosomal RNA". The record is from RNAcentral.
AGAGUCUGACUCUGGCUCAGAACGAACGCUGGCAGCGUGGAUUAGGCAUGCAAGUCGAACGUGAAGCUGUUGAUCAAUUCUUCGGAAGAGUGAUUCAGUGGAAAGUGGCGAAAGGGUGAGUAACGCGUGGGUAACCUACCCUGAAGUUGGGGACAACUCUUCGAAAGGGGAGCUAAUACCGAAUGUGGUCCCCCCCCGCAUGUGGGGGAGACUAAAGGUGGAAUCCUUCGGGAUCUGCCGCUUCUGGAGGGGCCCGCGUGACAUCAGCUUGUUGGUGAGGUAAUGGCUCACCAAGGCUUACGUCUAGCUGGUCUGAGAGGAUGGUCAGCCACACUGGGACUGAGACACUGCCCAGACUCCUACGGGAGGCUGCAGUCGAGAAUCAUUCACAAUGCGCGAAAGCGUGAUGAUGCGACGCUGCGUGGAGGAUGAAGGCCCUAGGGUUGUAAACUCCUGUCAUGAGGGAAAAACCGCACGGAUGUAAAUAGCGUCUGUGUUUGAUGGUACCUCAAGAGGAAGCCACGGCUAACUCUGUGCCAGCAGCCGCGGUGAUACAGAGGUGGCGAGCGUUGUUCGGAUUUACUGGGCGUAAAGCGUACGUAGGUGGUUUCGUGUGUCGGGUGUGAAAGCCCACGGCCCAACCGUGGAAUUGCACUCGAAACUGCGGGACUUGAGUGCAGGAGGGGAGAGCGGAAUUCAGGGUGUAGCGGUGAAAUGCGUUGGUAUCCUGAAGAACACCGGUGGCGAAGGCGGCUCUCUGGAAUGUUACUGACACUGAGGUACGAAAGCGUGGGGAGCGAACAGGAUUAGAUACCCUGGUAGUCCACGCCGUAAACGUUGUGCACUUGGUGUGGGCGGUAUUGACCCCGUCCGUGCCGGAGCUAACGCGUUAAGUGCACCGCCUGGGGAGUACGGCCGCAAGGCUAAAACUCAAAGAAAUUGACGGGGGCCCGCACAAGCGGAGGAGCAUGUGGCUCAAUUCGAUGCAACGCGAAGAACCUUACCUGGACUUGACAUGUAACUGCAUGCCCCGGGAAACCGGGGAGGCCUUCGAGGGUGUUACACAGGUGCUGCAUGGCUGUCGUCAGUUCGUGCCGUGAGGUGUUGGGUUAAGUCCCGCAACGAACGCAACCCUUGUGUUUAGUUGCCACCGGUGGUGAUGAGCCACCGAGCACUCUAAACAGACUGCCUGUACAAGCAGGAGGAAGGUGGGGAUGACGUCAAGUCAGUAUGGCCCUUAUGUCCAGGGCUGCACACGUGCUACAAUGGCCGGUACAAUGGGAAGCAAUACCGCGAGGUGGAGCAAAUCCUCAACACCGGUCCCAGUUCGGAUUGGAGUCUGCAACUCGACUCCAUGAAGUUGGAUUCGCUAGUAAUGCCGUAUCAGCUACGACGGCGUGAAUAUGUUCCCGGGCCUUGUACACACCGCCCGUCACAUCAUGAAAGCCGUCUGCACCCGAAGUCGCCGAGCUAACCCGCAAGGGAGGCAGGUGCCGAAGGUGUGGGUGGUG